UUUUCUCAUUUUUGUAGAGAUUAUUGGUUAUGACAAGCAGUACCCGACCCUUGAUUUCUCCAAAUGACAAUCAGCUUGCCUCCUGGAGAAGAGGAGAUCUGGAAGUCCCAACUUCAAGGUCACCCUUCGAGUCCCCCCAGACCAUCAGGCCUGCAGGCCAGGGCAGCCCCAGUCAUCUCCUAUCCUAGACCAACCUCAAUGCAAACACCACGGGGUCCCGUAUCUCCAGCACGUGGCUGAAAGCAGCAUUCUCCUAAGAAUUUCCUCAAAUGUGUGAAACACUUUGGGAAGCAGCGUGUUGAAACACAAAAACACUGAAUUCACAGGGAGCAGAUGUACAUGUGAAUCCUGACGGCUGGGCUACCUUUGGCAUCGGUGUAUCUGUGGAAAAAGACCUCAGGCUGUCCCAACCUCAGUUUCUUCAUCUGUUGUGAGGAUUAUGAAUAAAAGUACGCAGUAAACUUUGAACUUCUACCAAGU
Hyaena hyaena (striped hyena) is the source of this 480-nucleotide long non-coding RNA. RefSeq lists it as uncharacterized. NCBI's taxonomy places the organism in Eukaryota, Metazoa, Chordata, Mammalia, Carnivora, Hyaenidae. The record is from RefSeq and is a predicted model, not a curated record. The transcript has 2 exons.